Hemicordylus capensis (graceful crag lizard) is the source of this 747-nucleotide long non-coding RNA. RefSeq lists it as uncharacterized. The record is from RefSeq and is a predicted model, not a curated record. NCBI's taxonomy places the organism in Eukaryota, Metazoa, Chordata, Lepidosauria, Squamata, Cordylidae. The transcript is spliced from 4 exons.
GUAAAGGAAGCAAUGAAAAAGUAACAGCCAUAAACCAGAAGCCCAUGGAUGAAAAGUCUCCCAGUUCUCUUUCAUGAAAGACAAUGAGAGAUGAACAGCCUUUUUGAUAAUCGGAAAGGCUUAGUCAUAGAAAGGUAGUAGAGAAGAGCCCUGCGAACGUCCAAAGAGUGCAGAGCCUUUUCCAGCGGUGUGGUUGGAGAUUUGAAGAAAGUGGGCAGUACAACAUCCUGGUUGAUGUGGAAGUCCGAGACAAUCUUAGGCAGCAGACCACUGCUUGAUGCCCUCGACACUCCUGGCCCAGCCCCGAUCCGCUACUGCCACCCCCUGUGGAGGACGGCGACCCCACACCAUGCCGUCGUGCUGGCGCUGCUGGUGGUACUGCUGCUGGUCACCCUCCCAGUCUGCACAGAAUAAGCAAGGCUUAAGCAGUCCCUGACAAGCUGGGGAAAGGGCCCAAUUCUUUCAACAGUUCUCCCAGGCCAAAGCUGGCCCCUCAGGAGCUGAUACUGUGAGAAGAGGAGCUCUUACCCCUGGACUUCUGGGCCUCCACACUAAGGAUGUGCAUGGAACUGGUGGGGGCCGGUCUGAUGGCAGGGUGGUGGUGGCAGCACCCCCCCCCCAAUUUCUCCCACUGGCGCACGUCUCACUAAAAGUCUGUCAGGGCGGCCGUGUACCUCCCUGCCACUCCACUCUGACACUAUCUGGAAGUAACCAGAAGUAGCAGCUGCGACUGUGCACGCGCACGAA